AUUGCAAGUGACGAUGAAAAGACAGGGACAUCAGAGAUUCUCCGGUUAGGAAAAUUGAGAAUGAUGAUUAAUGUCUAAAUGGGAAUCUCUCUGAUGCACA
Molecule: small nucleolar RNA, 100 nt
Organism: Brassica oleracea var. oleracea
Lineage: Eukaryota; Viridiplantae; Streptophyta; Magnoliopsida; Brassicales; Brassicaceae
Rfam family: Small nucleolar RNA R44/J54/Z268 family
About the family: R44, J54 and Z268 are members of the C/D class of snoRNA which contain the C (UGAUGA) and D (CUGA) box motifs. Most of the members of the box C/D family function in directing site-specific 2'-O-methylation of substrate RNAs.
Source: Rfam